GAUGAACGCUGGCGGCGUGCUUAACACAUGCAAGUCGAACGGGCUCUGCCUGGAACUGUGCUUGGUGUGGCUAGUGGCUAACUGAUGAGUAAUACGUUAGUAACCGGACGUCUACAUUGGGUUAAGCCUUGUAAACGUAGCCUAUUACCUGAUAUUCCUGUCUGGUCGCAUGGCCGGGUGGGGACAGUCUUCUUCUUUGCGGGAUGGGCUCGCGACCUAUUAGCUAGUUGGUGGUGUGAUGGCCUACCAAGGGGUCGACGGGUAGCCGUCAUACGAGGGUGACCGGCCACAGUGGGAGUGGGAAACGGCCCGGACUCCAACGGGAGGAGGCGGUGGGGAAUAUUGCACAAUGGGCGCAGGCCGGAUGCAGCGAGGCGGCGUGGGGGAUGACGGCUUUCGGGUUGUAAACCUCUUUCGUCGGGGGUCAAGGCUCUGCUUGGUGGUGGGGUUGAGGUACCCGGUGAAGAAGCGCCGGCUAACUACGUG
Molecule: ribosomal RNA, 486 nt
Filed under: uncultured bacterium
Lineage: Bacteria
Description: partial 16S ribosomal RNA
Rfam family: Bacterial small subunit ribosomal RNA
Source: RNAcentral